UAAGAAGUCUUAAAAAUAUAUUAAAAUAAUCAUAAUAUAUCUUAAAUAAAUAUCAACAAAGUUCUAAUUUAACCCUAGUUGAAACCCUAAUGGACUUCAAUCAAAUCCUAGACAAAUCCUAAAUCCUAAACCAAACCUUAAUCAAAUCUUAAACUCUAAAGUAAAUCCUAAAUCCUAAAUCAAAUCCAAACUAUAUCCUAACUAAUCCUAAACUUUAAACCAAAUCCUAAUCAAAUAUUAAAUCUUAAUUAAAUCCUAUAUCUUAAAUCAAAUCGUAAAAAAAUCUUGAAUCCUAAACCAAAUCCUAAUCAAAUCCUAAAUCUUAAACCAAA
RNAcentral lists this long non-coding RNA (332 nucleotides) under Physcomitrium patens. RNAcentral's name for it is "long non-coding RNA (PPAT_LNC001662)". Lineage: Eukaryota; Viridiplantae; Streptophyta; Bryopsida; Funariales; Funariaceae. The record is from RNAcentral.